ACGACGCCCGGGUCAGGGCCUGGGCGCGGCUCGGAGCCGGGUCGUCGCUAUAGCAAUCGGGAACCGCUACCUGUCCAUUCCAAGGAUUCGGUCCAGCAGAAGCGUGAGGAGGUGGCGGAGGCCCCGAGGGCUUUGCGUCAUCACUUCUGCGGCCUGCGGGCGAGAAGGUGCGCUUCGGGAGUAGCGCGGGAGGACAGAAGGCGCAGGUUGUGAGGGACGCAGGCCCUGGGGCUUCGGUCUCUGUCCUCCGAGCUCAGAGCCUCCAGGCUUCUUCCCGGCCGCGCGCUCAGCAUUCACUGUCUUACGGUCCCGAAGCGCUUUAAGGUGCGCAGUCCGCAGGCCUUGCCUACUGAUCUUCGAGCCACCCCUUGAAGGAAGCAGUUGCAGACGCUGAGCACAGUGCCAAACCUAUAUAGAAACUCAUUUGGGAUAUGGAGGAGAAUAUGCCACCAGUUCUCCAAAGUGGAGGGGAAGCAAAAUGUCUGUCCCAUGAUGAAUGUGCCCUGAUGUCUCAUUGGCUAUGUUGGUCACAUGGCUUCACUGGCCACAAAGGACUCUGGGCACUGUGGGCCUCCCGUCUGAAGGUGGUUGCAAGCUGGUUGAAACAGAUGCUCUGACUAAACACAAAGGGUAGGACAAGGCAGGACGGUCAAUUAGGCACCAAGUGAGUGGAAAAGACAAUGAAGUUCCAAGGAGCAGGUAGAAGGACAAGAUCACUGUGGCCGUAGGCCUCACAGAGGAAGGAAGGCUUGCGCUGGGCUGGAAGGAUGCACAAGAUUUGGCUGGGCCACAGAAAGAACUUGAGGAGAAGGGCCUGAACCCCAAGAUUCCACAAGAAUUAAGCUAGAAGUCAAAGUGUUAUGCAAGCCGGAAGUUUCCAAGAGUAUAAGCCAAAUUUCUUCAAUGAAGAUUUCCAAAUCAAAAUGUCAGCCUCUCUUGUAGAAGAAGAAAUAUUGAUUUGUGUUAACUUCAUCUGACAAAAAAUGUUACAAAGUGAGGGCCAACAGUGCACACUGUAAAGAAACCAGAAGGGACAUGAGUCUAUUAGAACUAGAGCUUCAAUUUAUAAAAUGGAAAGAGGAACAUCAGAUAGAGAUGUUAUUAAAAUAAAAUUACAUUGUUUGGUGAAACAAAAAGUAUUCUAGGCCAGGGGUGGUGGCUUACGCCUAUAAUCCCAGCACUUUGGGAGGCUGAGGUGGGCAGAUCUCUUGAGGUCAGGAGUUCGAGACCAGCCUGGCCAGCAUAGUGAAACCUUGUCUCUAUUAAAAAUUAGCCAAGCAUGGAGGCAGGCACCUGUAGUCCCAGCUACUCUGGAGGCUGAGGCAGAACUGCUUGAACCCAGGAGGUGGAGGUUGCAGUGAGCCAAGAUCACAUCAUUGCAUUCUAGCCUGGGUAACGGAGGGAGACUCCAUCU
Molecule: long non-coding RNA, 1414 nt
Organism: Pan troglodytes (chimpanzee)
Lineage: Eukaryota; Metazoa; Chordata; Mammalia; Primates; Hominidae
Exons: 4
Source: RefSeq, a predicted model, not a curated record